CCUACGGGAGGCAGCAGUGGGGAAUAUUGCACAAUGGGGGAAACCCUGAUGCAGCAACGCCGCGUGGAGGAAGAAGUAUUUCGGUAUGUAAACUUCUAUCAGCAGGAAAGAAAAUGACGGUACCUGACUAAGGAGCCCCGGCUAACUACGUGCCAGCAGCCGCGGUAAU
RNAcentral lists this ribosomal RNA (169 nucleotides) under uncultured endophytic bacterium. RNAcentral describes it as "partial 16S ribosomal RNA". It matches the Rfam family "Bacterial small subunit ribosomal RNA", at positions 338 to 524 of the family's 1533-position model. The record is from RNAcentral.